CCCUUUCAAGAGACGAGAGUGAGAGGCGGAGUUAUGGCAGAUAGCAAUUUUAAACAGAUGCAGUGAAGUUUUUUAUUACUUUUUUCUUCUUUCUGUUCAUUUUCAGUAAAUUUCUGAUUUUUUUUCUUCUAAUGGUUUACCAUUUGUCAAGCAUUCUAUUUUCUUUUACAGGGAGGCAGGUCACCUUGCUCUGUUAUACAGUCUUAAAUGUCUAUUUCGAUUUCAAACCACUGUCCACUUUUAUCAAAUUUCUAAAAAAUUAUUGUGUUUCUCUAACUGCUUACCAUUUGUCAGAGAAAUGUAUUUUCUUUGACAGGUAGGACAUACAAUAUCCAGCCCUGAAGAAUGUUUUGCUGCAUGUAGCCUUUUCUAUGGUUUGCAGCUUUUGCUUGUGAGUUUUGAAUUUGAAGAUUGUGAAUUCUAUUUUACUCUUCUUAAUUUAGAAAUGACUUGCCUAUUUGCAUUUGGAGUAUGGAGAAACUGUCAAUCGUUUUUCGAAUUUAUAAUCUAGUAAUAGCUUGUUUUGUAGUAUGAGUCACAGUUGGCAAUAGCAAGUUUAAGAAGGUUUGAGCCCCCAUGGAUGCUUGAGUUUAAUCGAUGAUCAUAGAGUGUUUAAUCUUCCUUUCAUGUUUUUGUAGUUAAGAGACAAGUUUCAUUAUGUUAACAAUUAUUUCUAUUUUAGAGGAUGUAGAUUCAUCACAUGGUUAUUCAUUCUUCUAACAAAUGCUAUAUUUGGCAGACUUUUGUUGGAAGGUUUGGCAG
RNAcentral lists this long non-coding RNA (762 nucleotides) under Olea europaea subsp. europaea. Lineage: Eukaryota; Viridiplantae; Streptophyta; Magnoliopsida; Lamiales; Oleaceae. The record is from RNAcentral.